Long non-coding RNA from Sapajus apella (tufted capuchin), 136 nucleotides. RefSeq lists it as uncharacterized. The transcript is spliced from 3 exons. The record is from RefSeq and is a predicted model, not a curated record. NCBI's taxonomy places the organism in Eukaryota, Metazoa, Chordata, Mammalia, Primates, Cebidae.
UCUGUUAUGGACUGAUUGUGUGUUCCAGGAGUUAACACCGUCACUGCCUUGGUGGAGAACAAGAAAGCUCAGCUGGUGGUGAUUGCACACGACGUGGAUCCCAUUGAGCUGGCUGUCUUCUUGCCUGCUCUGUGUC